UACGUAGGGUGCAAGCGUUGUCCGGAAUUAUUGGGCGUAAAGAGCUCGUAGGCGGUCUGUCGCGUCGGCUGUGAAAACCCGGGGCUCAACCCCGGGCCUGCAGUCGAUACGGGCAGACUAGAGUGCGGUAGGGGAGACUGGAAUUCCUGGUGUAGCGGUGAAAUGCGCAGAUAUCAGGAGGAACACCGGUGGCGAAGGCGGCUCACUGGCUCAUUACUGACGCUCAGGCGCGACAGCGUGGGGAUCAAACAGG
Molecule: ribosomal RNA, 253 nt
Filed under: uncultured bacterium
Lineage: Bacteria
Description: partial 16S ribosomal RNA
Rfam family: Bacterial small subunit ribosomal RNA
Source: RNAcentral